GUGCUCACUUCCUCAGCACAUAUACUAAAAUUGGAAAGAUACAGAGAAGAUUAGCAUGGCCCCUGCACAAGGAUGACACACAAAUUUGUGAAGUGUUCCAUAUUAAA
RNAcentral lists this small nuclear RNA (107 nucleotides) under Marmota marmota marmota (Alpine marmot). The record is from RNAcentral. Lineage: Eukaryota; Metazoa; Chordata; Mammalia; Rodentia; Sciuridae.